AAGUCUUAUGCUAAACUUCAAAGGCAAAGAACAGUGUGGGGAAAGUUUCAAUGAGACUCCAAUUCUUAAGCAAAGAAAAAUUUUAAUAGAGUAAAUUCAUGUGACUGCAUUAUGUGUGCCAAAGACUUCAUAUGCCCUUCAUUCCUUCAUAGGCAGAUCACAUCUCAGUAUGGACACGAACGCUACAAGCAUGAAGAAUGAGAAGAGAAGCCAUGUGAAUUGAAACAAUACAGGGAAUCUCUGGUUUCUCUCAAAAGUGUUCACACACAAAUGUUAACACAAACUGGAGAUGGACCCUAUGAAAAUACAGUAUGUGGGAAAGUCAUCAGUUGUUCCAAUGACAUUCAAAGGCAUGAAGAUUCUCAUACUGGGUGGCAACCUGAUGAAUGUCAACAAUGUGAUGAAGUCUCUUCUCCCACAGGUGUUCAAAGACACACAAGAACACAUAGUGGAUGUAAACCUUUUCAAUGUGAGGUAUGUGGGAAAGCCUUUCAUUCCCCCACUUUAUAUAGAAAACAUGAAAGAACUCAUUCUGGAGAGAAAUCCCAUGAAUGUAAAGAAGGUGGUAAAACCUUGGUUUCACCCACAAGUCUUCACAGUCACAUGAUCACACACACUGGAAAAGUACUUUUUAAAUGUAACGUAUGUGGGACAGACUUUGCUUACCGAAGUUUAUUUAGAAUACAUCAGAGGAAACAUACUAGAGAGAAACCCUAUGAAUGUCAACAAUGUGGAAAAGCCUACACUACUUCAUCUUACCUUCAGAUACAUGAACAAAUCCAUAAUGGAGAGAAUCCCAAUGAAUGCCAACAAUGUGGAAAAGUCUUCACUACUUCUUUUUCCCUUCACAGACAUGAACGAACACAUACUGGAGAGAAGCCCUAUGAGUGUAAGCAGUGUGGCAAAGCCUUUGCUCAGUCCUCUAACCUUCACUCACAUGAAAAAACUCAUACAGGAGAGAAGCCCUAUGCAUGUCAACAAUGUGGGAAAGCCUUCAGUACUUCUUCCUACCUUCAGAUACAUGAGCAGACUCAUACUGGGGAGAAGCCCUAUGAAUGUAAGCAGUGUGGCAAAGCUUUUACUCAGUCCUCUAGCCUUCACUCACAUAAAAAAAAAAAACUCAUACAAAAAAGAAACCCUAUGAAUGUCAACAAUGUGGGAAAGCCUGCACUACUUUGUCUUACCUUCAGAUACAUGAACAAAUCCAUAUUGGAGAGAAGCCCAAUGAAUGUCAACAAUGUGGAAAAGUCUUCACUACUUCUUUUUCCCUCUGCAGACAUGAAUGGACUCAGAGAGGAGAGAAGCCCUAUCAAUGUCAACAAUGUGAUAAAGUCUACACUACUGCCUUUUACCUUCACAUACAUGAACAAACACAUUCUGGAGUGAAGCCCUAUGAGUGUAUGCAGUGUGGAAAAGCCUUUGCUGAAUCUUCUCAGCUUCACCAACAUCAACAAACUCAUACUGGGGAGAAGCCCUCUGAAUGUCAACAAUGUGGAAAAGCCUUUGCUAAAUCCAGUCACCUUAAGAGACAUGGAAGAACACAUACUGGAGAGAAGCCCUAUGAAUGUAAGCAGUGUGGCAAAGCCUUCGCUCAAUCCCAUCAUCUUCACAGACAUGAAAAAAAGCAUAUUGGAGAGAAGCCUUAUGAAUAUCAACAAUGUGGAGAACGCCUUGACACAUCCAGUGAACCUCACAUACAUGGAAGAAUUCAUGCAGAAGAGAAACCUAAUGAAUACCAACAAUGUGGAAAAGUCUUCAUUUCUUCCUUUUUCCUUCACAGACAUGAAGGGACUCACACUCAAGAGAAACCCUAUGAAUGUAAGCAGUAUCACAUAGCUUUCACUCAGUCCUCUCAUCUUUGCUCACAUGAACGAACUCAUACUGGAGAGAAGCCCUAUGAAUGUCAACAAUGGGGAAAAACCUUUCUUAUAUCCCAUCAGCUUCACUUACAUGAACAAACUCAUAUUGCAAAGAAAUUGUGCUGAUGAAAACAAUUAUCAAAGUCUUCUGUUAUCACUGUUCUUCUCAUCAACAAGUUGGAAGUAUACUGGAGAAAAAUUCUUUAAAUGUGAAAUGUGGUGAAUCAAUAUUUCUUGUCACCUUCAAACACAAAAAAAGGCUCACUCUGCUGAAUACUGUACUGGGGAUUGUACUGGAGUUUUGGUCUGGUGGCACUCUACCACUGAGACACAUGCUCAUUCUUUUUUUAUAUUUUUAAUUUUGAGACAGGGACUUGCUGAGUUCCUUAGGGUCUUCCUAAAAUGCUGAGGCUGGCCUCAAACUUGUGAUCCUUCAGCCUCAGCCUCCCGGUCUCUGGGAUUAAAGGCAUACAUCACCACAACUGUUUGAAUGUGAAAAAAUAUGUUGUCUUCAAAACCAUUUCACUCGCUGGAAAACAAACACUCUGAAUGGGGGCGAUUUGCUACAGUUUAUCAGCUUCAUGUUCCAGACCUAUUUUUCUUCUCUUUUAUGAAAAUACUCGUGGAGAGAAGCCCUGUGACUGUGAAAAAUGUGGGAAAUCUUUUAAUUUUUGCAGUUUAUUCUGAGUACUAGAAAGAUUAUUUUGGAAAGAUUCCUGCCAAAAUGAAUAAAUCCUAUGCAAGUAAGAAAUACAAAGGGUUCACUUGUUUUAGUUUUGUUCAGUUGUAUUAAAAACAAACAAACAAACAAAAAAAAAAACUUUAGAAAAUCCUGUGGAGGGCUGGGGAUGUGGCUCAAGUGGUAGCGCACUCGCCUGGCAUGCAUGCAACCCGGGUUCAAUCCUCAGCACCACAUACAAACAAAGAUGUUGUGUCCGCCGAAAACUAAAAAUAAAUAUUAAAAAAGAAAGAAAAUCC
This 2837-nucleotide long non-coding RNA is filed under the name Marmota monax (woodchuck). Lineage: Eukaryota; Metazoa; Chordata; Mammalia; Rodentia; Sciuridae. The record is from RNAcentral.